This 450-nucleotide ribosomal RNA is filed under the name Staphylococcus aureus. RNAcentral describes it as "bacterial SSU rRNA". It matches the Rfam family "Bacterial small subunit ribosomal RNA", at positions 1 to 440 of the family's 1533-position model. Lineage: Bacteria; Bacillati; Bacillota; Bacilli; Caryophanales; Staphylococcaceae. The record is from RNAcentral.
UUUAUGGAGAGUUUGAUCCUGGCUCAGGAUGAACGCUGGCGGCGUGCCUAAUACAUGCAAGUCGAGCGAACGGACGAGAAGCUUGCUUCUCUGAUGUUAGCGGCGGACGGGUGAGUAACACGUGGAUAACCUACCUAUAAGACUGGGAUAACUUCGGGAAACCGGAGCUAAUACCGGAUAAUAUUUUAAACCGCAUGGUUCAAAAGUGAAAGACGGUCUUGCUGUCACUUAUAGAUGGAUCCGCGCUGCAUUAGCUAGUUGGUAAGGUAACGGCUUACCAAGGCAACGAUGCAUAGCCGACCUGAGAGGGUGAUCGGCCACACUGGAACUGAGACACGGUCCAGACUCCUACGGGAGGCAGCAGUAGGGAAUCUUCCGCAAUGGGCGAAAGCCUGACGGAGCAACGCCGCGUGAGUGAUGAAGGUCUUCGGAUCGUAAAACUCUGUUAUU